AGAGUUUGAUCCUGGCUCAGAUUGAACGCUGGCGGCAGGCUUAACACAUGCAAGUCGAGCGGAGAUGAGGUGCUUGCACCUUAUCUUAGCGGCGGACGGGUGAGUAAUGCUUAGGAAUCUGCCUAUUAGUGGGGGACAACAUUUCGAAAGGAAUGCUAAUACCGCAUACGCCCUACUGGGGAAAGCAGGGGAUCUUCGGACCUUGCGCUAAUAGAUGAGCCUAAGUCGGAUUAGCUAGUUGGUGGGGUAAAGGCCUACCAAGGCGACGAUCUGUAGCGGGUCUGAGAGGAUGAUCCGCCACACUGGGACUGAGACACGGCCCAGACUCCUACGGGAGGCAGCAGUGGGGAAUAUUGCGCAAUGGACGAAAGUCUGACGCAGCGACGCCGCGUGAGGGACG
RNAcentral lists this ribosomal RNA (400 nucleotides) under uncultured bacterium. Its description in RNAcentral is "bacterial SSU rRNA". It matches the Rfam family "Bacterial small subunit ribosomal RNA", at positions 8 to 410 of the family's 1533-position model. The record is from RNAcentral.